RNAcentral lists this ribosomal RNA (249 nucleotides) under uncultured bacterium. RNAcentral's name for it is "partial 16S ribosomal RNA". It matches the Rfam family "Bacterial small subunit ribosomal RNA", at positions 524 to 771 of the family's 1533-position model. The record is from RNAcentral.
UACAGAGGGUGCGAGCGUUAAUCGGAGUUACUGGGCGUAAAGGGCGCGUAGGCGGUUAUAUAAGUGAGAUGUGAAAUCCCUGGGCUUAACCUAGGAACUGCAUCUCAUACUGUAUGACUGGAGUAUUGUAGAGGGUAGUGGAAUUUCCGGUGUAGCGGUGAAAUGCGUAGAGAUCGGAAAGGAACACCAGUGGCGAAGGCGGCUACCUGGACAAAUACUGACGCUGAGGCGCGAGAGCGUGGGGAGCAA